Molecule: ribosomal RNA, 256 nt
Filed under: uncultured bacterium
Lineage: Bacteria
Description: partial 16S ribosomal RNA
Rfam family: Bacterial small subunit ribosomal RNA
Source: RNAcentral
UAAUACGUAGGUGGCGAGCGUUAUCCGGAUUUACUGGGUGUAAAGGGCGAGUAGGCGGGCUUGUAAGUCAGAUGUGAAAUACCGGGGCUCAACCCCGGGGCUGCAUUUGAAACUAUGAGUCUUGAGUGAUGGAGAGGCAGGCGGAAUUCCGAGUGUAGCGGUGGAAUGCGUAGAUAUUCGGAGGAACACCAGUGGCGAAGGCGGCCUGCUGGACAUUAACUGACGCUGAGGAGCGAAAGCGUGGGGAGCAAACAGG